UGAGAAUAUAGUUGUGUUGUUUUGGAUUAGAAUUGUGUGAAAAGUUGUAACUAUUGGAAGUUUUUGUUUUUACUUUUUAUGAGAAGGUGUAAUUGCUGAGUACUUUCUUUUGUAAAAGGAUGCAACUGAUGAAUGAAUAAUUAUUGGAUUUAUGUCAAUAGUUCUAAUAAACUUAACUUAUUUAUUUCCAAUCACUCUGAUAAACAUACGAAAUACCAUUAAAACAUAUGAAAUCCUGUUACAUAGGCAUUAAUAUAACAGGUAAGAUAUAAUUCAUUUUAGAGAAAAGUGAUAACUUUCUGUGUGUGUGUGUGUUUUUUUUUUAUUAAUGGUUCUUUGUUGCAGUUCCACCAGUACCAGGUUGUGGGAAGGGCUCUCCCUACUGAGUCUGAUGAGGCUUUGGGCCACCAAUGAGGUCGGCGCCAAGUCCAAAUUCUGAAAGUUGAAUUUACUUUCAUUUGGAGAAGAAGCUGAAGAAAAGGAGAAGGAACUAGUAGCUGCAAAGAAAAAAAUCAAGAGCAGUCAUGAUGUACUUGAUGAUCCUCGUCUUCUAAAGGAUGCUAUUCCAAAUGAUGAAUUGUGGAACUGGCAAACUAUAGUUAUAGGGGUCGCUUUCUUGGCUUUUCUCCUUGUCGCCAAACACAUAG
Humulus lupulus (European hop) is the source of this 647-nucleotide long non-coding RNA. RefSeq lists it as uncharacterized. Lineage: Eukaryota; Viridiplantae; Streptophyta; Magnoliopsida; Rosales; Cannabaceae. The record is from RefSeq and is a predicted model, not a curated record. The transcript has 3 exons.